CCUACGGGUGGCACCAGUGGGGAAUAUUGCACAAUGGGCGCAAGCCUGAUGCAGCCAUGCCGCGUGUAUGAAGAAAGCCUUCGGGUUGUAAGUACUUUCAGCGGGGAGGAAGGUGUUGUGGUUAAUAACCGCAGCAAUUGACGUUACCCGCAGAAGAAGCACCGGCCAACUCCGUGCCAGCAGCCGCGGUAAUACGGAGGGUGCAGGCGUUAAUCGGAAUUACUGGGCGUAAAGCGCACGCAGGCGGUCUGUCAAGCCGGAUGUGAAAUCCCCGGGCUCAACCUGGGAACUGCAUUCGAAACUGGCAGGCUAGAGUCUUGUAGAGGGGGGUAGAAUUCCAGGUGUAGCGGUGAAAAGCGUAGAGAUCUGGAGGAAUACCGGUGGCGAAGGCGGCCCCCUGGACAAAGACUGACGCUCAGGUGCGAAAGCGUGGGGAGCAGACAGGAUUAGAUACCCGGGUAGUC
This 464-nucleotide ribosomal RNA is filed under the name uncultured bacterium. RNAcentral describes it as "bacterial SSU rRNA". It matches the Rfam family "Bacterial small subunit ribosomal RNA", at positions 338 to 795 of the family's 1533-position model. The record is from RNAcentral.